AUGUCGUCGGUGUUCAGCGGCGAUGAGACCGCCCCCUUCUUCGGCUUUCUCGGCGCCGCCGCGGCACUCGUCUUCUCAUGUAUGGGGGCGGCCUACGGGACGGCCAAGAGCGGCGUCGGCGUGGCGUCCAUGGGAGUCAUGCGCCCGGAGCUCGUCAUGAAGUCCAUCGUGCCCGUUGUCAUGGCUGGAGUGCUCGGUAUCUACGGGCUUAUCAUCGCCGUCAUCAUCAGUACCGGGAUCAACCCCAAGGCCAAGCCCUACUACCUCUUCGACGGCUACGCCCACCUCUCGUCCGGGCUCGCCUGUGGCCUUGCCGGCCUUGCUGCUGGCAUGGCCAUCGGCAUUGUUGGUGAUGCUGGAGUCAGGGCAAAUGCUCAGCAGCCCAAGCUGUUUGUCGGCAUGAUCCUCAUCCUCAUCUUCGCAGAGGCGCUCGCUCUCUACGGUCUCAUUGUCGGCAUCAUCCUGUCAUCCCGAGCUGGCCAGUCUCGUGCCGAUUAG
This 498-nucleotide ribosomal RNA is filed under the name Triticum aestivum (bread wheat). Its description in RNAcentral is "partial small subunit ribosomal RNA". Lineage: Eukaryota; Viridiplantae; Streptophyta; Magnoliopsida; Poales; Poaceae. The record is from RNAcentral.